UCUGCCAGUGAUGAUCUACCAAUUGCCUUGCUUGAGUUUAACGACCAUGAGAAAACUCACAUGCACUACCAUCUGAGACAGG
RNAcentral lists this small nucleolar RNA (82 nucleotides) under Mastacembelus armatus (zig-zag eel). The record is from RNAcentral. Lineage: Eukaryota; Metazoa; Chordata; Actinopteri; Synbranchiformes; Mastacembelidae.